RNAcentral lists this ribosomal RNA (306 nucleotides) under Triticum aestivum (bread wheat). Its description in RNAcentral is "partial small subunit ribosomal RNA". The record is from RNAcentral. Lineage: Eukaryota; Viridiplantae; Streptophyta; Magnoliopsida; Poales; Poaceae.
ACAACAUGGCCAUCCAGCAGCAAGGCGGCGGCCACGACGAGUGGUACCUUGACUCCGGCGCCUCGUCCCAUGUCACCGGCAACGCAGGAUCUAGCCACUCGGACCCCUCUCCUGACCUGCAGUAGCUACGGGCAGCUCUAUUCGUUCUCCGGCGGCGCCAACAAACACUCCGCUCUCCUCUUCGCGACCGUCGGCGACUUAUGGCAUCAGAGACUUGGACACCCCAGUGCUGCUGCUGCCCUCUCUCGCAUGCGCCAUGAUUUCCUUCCUUCAUGUAAUAAACCACUUCACCCGUGUGGUUCGUGU